RNAcentral lists this ribosomal RNA (124 nucleotides) under Tyzzerella sp. Its description in RNAcentral is "partial 16S ribosomal RNA". It matches the Rfam family "Bacterial small subunit ribosomal RNA", at positions 1 to 103 of the family's 1533-position model. Lineage: Bacteria; Bacillati; Bacillota; Clostridia; Lachnospirales; Lachnospiraceae. The record is from RNAcentral.
UUUAACAUAAGAGUUUGAUCCUGGCUCAGGAUGAACGCUGGCGGCGUGCUUAACACAUGCAAGUCGAACGAAGAUAUUUAAAAUGAGAGCUUCGGCAGGAUUUUUAUUUAUCUUAGUGGCGGAC